Molecule: ribosomal RNA, 93 nt
Filed under: Cordyceps sp. 'Beijing'
Lineage: Eukaryota; Fungi; Ascomycota; Sordariomycetes; Hypocreales; Cordycipitaceae
Description: partial 26S ribosomal RNA
Rfam family: Eukaryotic large subunit ribosomal RNA
Source: RNAcentral
GUUGACCUCGGAUCAGGUAGGAAUACCCGCUGAACUUAAGCAUAUCAAUAAGCGGAGGAAAAGAAACCAACAGGGAUUGCCUUAGUAACGGCG